UGCUAAUCCAGCAAGGUGUUAGCAGGGUUCUAGGAAAGACAUACGGGCAGCGGACUGGAACAGGCUAACAGGCUAACAGGCUAACGCUAACGCUACGCUAACUUGGCCCCUCCGGAUUGUGGGACAGGGAGCCCCCAUGAGCUGUUCAUGCUAACCAGGCCUGCCUGCUGGGUGCGUGGGCCAGGUUGAUCAUGUGCACCACGAUCCUGAUCAUCUCGACCCUGUCAGUCAUUCUGCGCAGACGAUUCAACAACCAAGUCAAACCCCAUCCAGACGAGCUGGGGGAGAAAGAGAUGGUGUACGUGCAGAGAGAACUGCAGCCCGUGGAGAAGUGAGGCUCCCCGCGCUGUCAGGCAUCAGUUCCAGGUACACUACUACAGUAAAGUUGGAUGUACUCCAGACCGACAUAGCCUUCUAAAACACACGCCUGUCAUCCUCUUCGGCCUCUAACGGAGUUCACCUGCAAUUUGUGGGGCAGCAGCAACCAGUGGUGACCAGGCAGUAUGGAAAGAAAAGGAACAGGUGAGAGACCAAUUAUUCUAUUCUAGUCUUGUCUGAUUUCUCUAUAUUAUUCAUCCAUAUAACCCCACUAAUAGCUACAGUUUGUAAUAACUACGAUUCAGCGGCAGUGCUAGGACAGUAAAUCCUUAAAUCGGUCUUCACAUCAAUAACGGUUCUUUCUUUUGUCAGAUCGUUUAUAAUGCAGGGAGAAAUACAGAGAUCAUCUUUCCCAUAGAUCAACGCCCUCUCUGUUACAUGGCCAGUCCAACUACACAGCUAAAUGAGGUUCAAGUUGCUUUUCAGAUAUUUGAAGUUGACUAAGUCAGAGAUGGUUUAGCCUUACAGGAUCGUGACUAGGGGCAGGAUGUACUGAAUGGCAAUGAAAGAGCCUUGCCCUAGCCAGAGGAACUCGACUCUAGCACACAGGGCAGAGUAUCAAUGUCUCGACUCAAGUUGCAAAUACAGAAACAGUGUCAGUCACCUGAGACCAAUAAGAGGGGGUGGUCUGGCCAGAAACACCCAGCUCUGUUUGGGCCAAUUCCAAACACCAGUGGACUGGGACUGUCUGGGAGUCAGAAGGGAGAGAGAGGACGCUUCUUCAGCAUGCCUGGAGCGGAGGAUAGUGCUCGCCUGCCAGGGCACUGGAGAGACGUGAGGGAGUGGAGCAUAGAGAAGAGACAGAGACACAGAAUGUGGGUCCAGGAUGUAGAAAAUGUCCUCAGUUCAAUGGCUAGGCAACUGUGUGCUUCCCUGGAUAAAUAUCCUCGCCACGAGCUUGGGGAUGGCUCAAAACACUUCUCCCCUUCCUUCCAAGACUGGUUUCCCUCCCGUCAUCCAGCCCUUACUUACAGACAGUUAUAGGUCCUCUGCACCCACAGACUGAAGAGCUAAGCCAUGGACCACAUUGCUCAGCAGCUAAAAUGGACAAUAGCAGCAUGAAGCCUUCCUCAUUGAUUGAUUUGAAAUGUUUAUUGGUGUGAAUCAUCUAGAAACCACCACAGGUAGUGCUGCCACAGAGGAGGAGUCAAAGAUCUUCAGUUAUAUACCAGAGACGCCAAAGCUCAUGAAAAUACAUUUCUAACCUUGUCCGACUCUCCCCAUUUUAGGGUAUGCAUUGAAAGCAAAGAGGAACAAAGGUGAUGCAACCAUUCCAAAGCAUGAUGUCUACUCCUCUAUGAUAAGUUGCUGUUUGACAUUCUGGAGAGGUGUAAUCAUAUAAAGACACAGAUGUCCUCCAAGAGUUACACUCUAAUAAAGGAUGAUGGAAAGUCAAACAGAGACCAGAGUUUACAGUCUGACCUUCUCUGGUCCAAGAGGCUGGAGACCACACCACCCUCCCGUCAAUUAAAUAAACAAGUGAUUUGUCUGAGCUACUCUCUGUUGUAUCUUUGUCUGAAAAUGUUGGUAGAGUUCGAAAUCUGGCAGUGGAAACAGAACACACAACAUAUCAGUAGGUGCACCUGCAGACCACUUGACUAAGUAUCCAUUUGAUAGGUUAUUGAUUCUAUUGGAGGCUCUGUGGCUUAGGAGGGAAAUGGGACUGUGUGGUUGGUAGUUGAAUGAUUUCUUGGAAGCAGAUAUGAUUUGGUGUCUAUAUAUAGGGUCUCAACAGACGGAGCAGUGCGACCUGUACUGUGUCAGCUGACUUCCUGGUCCCUAGUCUCCUCGGCCCCCAAAUGAGAUCGAAGACGCCAUGCUUCCUGGCUGAUUAAAUAAAUGAUUGAAU
RNAcentral lists this long non-coding RNA (2227 nucleotides) under Salmo salar (Atlantic salmon). RNAcentral's name for it is "lncRNA (ENSSSAG00000111523.1)". The record is from RNAcentral. Lineage: Eukaryota; Metazoa; Chordata; Actinopteri; Salmoniformes; Salmonidae.